GACGAACGCUGGCGGCGUGCUUAACACAUGCAAGUCGAGCGGAAAGGCCCUUCGGGGUACUCGAGCGGCGAACGGGUGAGUAACACGUGAGCAACCUGCCCUGGACUUUGGGAUAACCCUCGGAAACGGGGGCUAAUACCGGAUAUGACCUUGGACCGCAUGGUUUGGGGUGGAAAGUUUUUCGGUCUGGGAUGGGCUCGCGGACUAUCAGCUUGUUGGUGGGGUGAUGGCCUACCAAGGCGACGACGGUUAGCCGGCCNGAGAGGGCGACCGGCCACACUGGGACUGAGACACGGCCCAGACUCCUACGGGAGGCAGCAGUGGGGAAUAUUGCACAAUGGGCGGAAGCCUGAUGCAGCGACGCCGCGUGAGGGAUGACGGCCUU
This 385-nucleotide ribosomal RNA is filed under the name uncultured bacterium. Its description in RNAcentral is "bacterial SSU rRNA". It matches the Rfam family "Bacterial small subunit ribosomal RNA", at positions 28 to 418 of the family's 1533-position model. The record is from RNAcentral.